UACGGAGGAUGCGAGCGUUAUCCGGAUUUAUUGGGUUUAAAGGGUGCGUAGGCGGGAUGCCAAGUCAGCGGUAAAAAUGCGGUGCUCAACGCCGUCGAGCCGUUGAAACUGGCGUUCUUGAGUGGGCGAGAAGUAUGCGGAAUGCGUGGUGUAGCGGUGAAAUGCAUAGAUAUCACGCAGAACUCCGAUUGCGAAGGCAGCAUACCGGCGCCCUACUGACGCUGAGGUACGAAAGCGUGGGUAUCGAACAGG
This 252-nucleotide ribosomal RNA is filed under the name uncultured bacterium. RNAcentral's name for it is "partial 16S ribosomal RNA". It matches the Rfam family "Bacterial small subunit ribosomal RNA", at positions 524 to 776 of the family's 1533-position model. The record is from RNAcentral.